AUCAUUUGGUAUAGGGUUAACAC
This 23-nucleotide non-coding RNA is filed under the name Arabidopsis thaliana (thale cress). Lineage: Eukaryota; Viridiplantae; Streptophyta; Magnoliopsida; Brassicales; Brassicaceae. The record is from RNAcentral.